Molecule: ribosomal RNA, 440 nt
Filed under: uncultured bacterium
Lineage: Bacteria
Description: partial 16S ribosomal RNA
Rfam family: Bacterial small subunit ribosomal RNA
Source: RNAcentral
CCUACGGGAGGCAGCAGUGGGGAAUAUUGGACAAUGGGGGGAACCCUGAUCCAGCGACGCCGCGUGAGUGAAGAAGCAUUCCGGUACGUAAAGCUCUAUCAGCAGGGAAGAAAAUGACGGUACCUGACUAAGAAGCCCCGGCUAACUACGUGCCAGCAGCCGCGGUAAUACGUAGGGGGCAAGCGUUAUCCGGAUUUACUGGGUGUAAAGGGAGCGUAGACGGUGCAGCAAGUCUGAUGUGAAAAGCCGGGGCCCAACCCCGGGACUGCAUUGGAAACUGUUGUGCUGGAGUACAGGAGAGGUAAGCGGAAUUCCUAGUGUAGCGGUGAAAUGCGUAGAUAUUAGGAGGAAUACCAGUAGCGGAGGCGGCUAACUGGAUGGAAACUGACGUUGAGGUGCGAAAGUGUGGGUAGCGAACAGGAUUAGAUACCCGGGUAGUC